AUCUCAGCACUCUAAGAGACAAGAUGGUGGAAUUUAACUAGUAUAUGACCUUUCUUUAGGAACGCUCAACUGGUAUCCAGAUGCAGAAGUCUUACUUCCUGCUUUUCUAUGACAUCAUCCUUCAGAAGGCGGGGCAUAGGCAAGAACAUGAUAAAGCACUUCUCCUUCCUGCCAUCAUGUGAAGAAGGAUGUGUUUGCUUCCCCUUCUGCCAGGAUUGUACGUUUCCUGAAG
RNAcentral lists this long non-coding RNA (232 nucleotides) under Homo sapiens (human). RNAcentral describes it as "non-protein coding lnc-SLITRK5-30:1". Lineage: Eukaryota; Metazoa; Chordata; Mammalia; Primates; Hominidae. The record is from RNAcentral.